This 468-nucleotide ribosomal RNA is filed under the name uncultured bacterium. RNAcentral describes it as "partial 16S ribosomal RNA". It matches the Rfam family "Bacterial small subunit ribosomal RNA", at positions 28 to 507 of the family's 1533-position model. The record is from RNAcentral.
GACGAACGCUGGCGGCGUGCUUAACACAUGCAAGUCGAACGGAAAGGCCCUGCUUUUGUGGGGUGCUCGAGUGGCGAACGGGUGAGUAACACGUGAGUAACCUGCCCUUGACUUUGGGAUAACUUCAGGAAACUGGGGCUAAUACCGGAUAGGAGCUCCUGCUGCAUGGUGGGGGUUGGAAAGUUUCGGCGGUUGGGGAUGGACUCGCGGCUUAUCAGCUUGUUGGUGGGGUAGUGGCUUACCAAGGCUUUGACGGGUAGCCGGCCUGAGAGGGUGACCGGCCACAUUGGGCCUGAGAUACGGCCCAGACUCCUACGGGAGGCAGCAGUGGGGAAUAUUGCACAAUGGGCGGAAGCCUGAUGCAGCAACGCCGCGUGCGUGAUGACGGCCUUCGGGUUGUAAACCGCUUUCGCCUGUGACGAAGCGUGAUUGACGGUAAUGGGUAAAGAAGCACCGGCUAACUACGUG